UUUCAUCUGGGUAAAAAGAAUUUCAAUUUAUUAUAGUCUAUGACCUUCUCCCAAAAAUUUUUGUAACAGUAUUGAAUUUGCUUCUUUAAGUGGGGCUGCUGGCCAGCUAUCAAGAGCACGCUUAUUCUAAAUACCUUCUAAAACAGUCAAUGAGCCUGUAUUAAACUAUUCAUCUUUUUUACAUAUAGUAUGUAUUCUCAAGAUAGCUAACCAAAGUUGGGUACAGUAUAGCUACUCAUCAGUUGCAAUCCAAGGUUAAGAGCCCAGUAAACCAACAAUCUAGGGAUUAAUAAAUAUUAUUCUAUAGCAAUAAAAAGUAAUCCCUCUAUAUUAAAAUCAUAGAAUCGAUGCACUUAAAAUUUGGAGGGUAUACUGGAAACCAUCUCAUCCAGCCCCUCACUUUAUUGAUAAGAAAACAAACCCAGAGAAAUGACUUGCCCAAGGUAACAAAUGAACAGAAAGGUAAGUCUAGAACCCAACUCUCCUAAGUCUCAGCUCAGUGCUUUUUACUUUCCACUUUCCCUUCAUAUUUCAUUUAGUAUUUCAUAAAAGAGCAACAAUUCCAAUGAAUAAAAAUCGAAGAAAAACUAAGGUUGGGAACACAGUACAAAAACAAAAUGGGCAUUCAAUUGGUAUACCCCAGUACUAGUAAAUCUAAGGUUGCAAAUUUGAUCCAAAUACAAGAAAAAUAAAACUCAUUCCGUAUUUCAGACUGCAUUAGUAUAUGUUAGCAGAUACGUACUAUAUGGACCUAAAGAUAACCAGACAAACUGGUUUGGCCAACAUAUCAUGGCUCAAACCUGUGUCUUUCUGCUACUAUGUGUGUACUAUCUUUGAGUUUAUAAAGAAGAAAAAAAUUCAAACGUGAACCUCAUCUAAUAAUUCUAUGCAACCUUCCAUAAGCAAAGGUGAUACUAUAUAUAUAUAUUUUAAUAUUUUGUAAAGACAGAGUCUCAGUAUGUUGCUAAGGCUGGUCUCAAAUUCCUGGGCUCAAGCCAUCCUCCCACCUCAGCCUCCCAAAGUGCUGGGCUGUUUACAGGCAUAAGCCACCACACCUGCACUCAACAGCGUAGCUUAAUGCAAUUGAAUUGGCCAAUGAAGAAUUGCCAUAACUUCAUUCUUAACUGAAAACUUAUUUAAUAAUAAAUAAAAGCUUACAGAAGAGUCAAUAUUUAUUUCUAAAUAAAACAUUGUCUCUUAUCAAAAUGAACUACACCAAAAAAACAAAUGCAGCAGAAAACUAUCACCUUAGGAUCAGACUACACCUGGCUUUAAGGAUUUUACAAGAUGAUAAUCUUAAAAGGACAAUAUGCUAUAAGAUUACAAGAAAAAUAAGAUUCAUAAAUGUUAAUAUUGCAAAGGCACAAGAAAUCACAUUUUUUAUUCCUUUGCAGUUGAAUUACUAGGAACAAGUCAAGAAGCCUCAAAAGAAUCAAGGCGUAAAAUACCAAGAACCUACUGGAGAAUAUAUAUUCCAUCAAAAUCAGGAAGAAACCCAAGAAAGAUGGCAUGGAAUCCAGCAAAGAAGGGAUCCAAUAUAGGAGAAAAACUAAGAGAAUCUCAAAAUGGUGAAGCAAAGUCACAGUAACAUAUGGAGAAGGCCUAGAAGGCAACAAAUCCAGACAGGAAUGUGACAGAGAAUCCAAGAUAGUUAUUUCUGAGGGAUUUUACAAAGGCACUGGAAGAUGUAAGAAAUUAAGCUUUAGGUAAAAAAAUUAAACAAAUGAAAAAAAUGAGAUAAUUCAUGAAUGCCAGUAAAAUUAAAGUUCUGUAAGAAAUAAAACAUAGUCAUAGAUACUGACUUAGCAAAUAGUAUUUACACAGCCACAAUUAUGAAAAAACCAAAUAUAGGUUUUAUUAAAAGUACGAUAUAACUAUAUUAGGAGGAUGGGGGUGUAGUAUGAAAUGUAUAAGAGAAAGAAGGAAGGCAACCCUAUAAUCACAGCUGAAAUCAACUGUGGAAAUGAAGCACAUUCUAAUUUCUAAUAAGGCUUUCUCCAAUCUCCAGUACUAAUUAGAUGUGAUUAAGAGCAGCCAACUUGACUGUUAAAGCUUGCUUCAGGAAGUAUCUUUUUUCUUAGAACAAGUAUGUUGAAACCUAAGCAUGGUGCUAAACACAUCCUCCAAGAAUCUCCAAGCUCUGGCUUGGCACAGACUUUCUCUUGACAGCUGCUCAGCUGAAACAGGACUGGGAAAUAGCCACAAUACUGGAUAAUACUGGUGGACUCAAGACCUGGAAAGAAUACUAAGACAGAAUCCAAUUUGGGCCUGAACUCCCAAACCAUCACAAACCAACCAAACUCCUAUGAUACCCUGCUCAACUGAACUUCAACCCCAAUUAACUUUAAGAAAUGACUGGAGCUUAUCCAAAACUCUGGACAUAUAUCCUGUCAUUUAAUAAGGAACUGGAAUAGGAAUUCAAAGCAUUCUCUCAAAUUCAUUAUUUUGGCAUUAUGUACUGAGCAUCUCCUACAUGCCAGUUAAUGCUGCUGGGGAAAACAGUAUUGACCAAAAGCAACCUGGGCUAUGGGACCUUCCCGGCCUGUAAUGAUGACAAAAAUAACAGUAAAGUGAGAAAAAGCAAAAAGUCUUAUAAUACAAAAGAAUAAAACAAAAAAAUGAAUAGACAUUAAACUCAUCCAUGAAAUGCA
Long non-coding RNA from Homo sapiens (human), 2651 nucleotides. RefSeq annotates it as PRKAA1 antisense RNA 1. The transcript is spliced from 2 exons. The record is from RefSeq and is a predicted model, not a curated record. Lineage: Eukaryota; Metazoa; Chordata; Mammalia; Primates; Hominidae.